Molecule: non-coding RNA, 45 nt
Organism: Strongylocentrotus purpuratus (purple sea urchin)
Lineage: Eukaryota; Metazoa; Echinodermata; Echinoidea; Camarodonta; Strongylocentrotidae
Source: Rfam
CCAACAGUCCUUUUCAGGACUACACACUAAAGAAAGAAAGAUUAC